This 800-nucleotide ribosomal RNA is filed under the name Arthrobacter sp. CAL580. RNAcentral's name for it is "bacterial SSU rRNA". It matches the Rfam family "Bacterial small subunit ribosomal RNA", at positions 35 to 845 of the family's 1533-position model. The record is from RNAcentral. Lineage: Bacteria; Bacillati; Actinomycetota; Actinomycetes; Micrococcales; Micrococcaceae.
GCUGGCGGCGUGCUUAACACAUGCAAGUCGAACGAUGAUCCCAGCUUGCUGGGGGAUUAGUGGCGAACGGGUGAGUAACACGUGAGUAACCUGCCCUUGACUCUGGGAUAAGCCUGGGAAACCGGGUCUAAUACUGGAUAUGACCUUCUGGCGCAUGCCAUGUUGGUGGAAAGCUUUAUUGCGGUUUUGGAUGGACUCGCGGCCUAUCAGCUUGUUGGUGGGGUAAUGGCCUACCAAGGCGACGACGGGUAGCCGGCCUGAGAGGGUGGACGGCCACACUGGGACUGAGACACGGCCCAGACUCCUACGGGAGGCAGCAGUGGGGAAUAUUGCACAAUGGGCGCAAGCCUGAUGCAGCGACGCCGCGUGGGGGAUGAAGGCCUUCGGGUUGUAAACCUCUUUCAGUAGGGAAGAAGCGAAAGUGACGGUACCUGCAGAAGAAGCGCCGGCUAACUACGUGCCAGCAGCCGCGGUAAUACGUAGGGCGCAAGCGUUAUCCGGAAUUAUUGGGCGUAAAGAGCUCGUAGGCGGUUUGUCGCGUCUGCCGUGAAAGUCCGGGGCUUAACUCCGGAUCUGCGGUGGGUACGGGCAGACUAGAGUGAUGUAGGGGAGACUGGAAUUCCUGGUGUAGCGGUGAAAUGCGCAGAUAUCAGGAGGAACACCGAUGGCGAAGGCAGGUCUCUGGGCAUUAACUGACGCUGAGGAGCGAAAGCAUGGGGAGCGAACAGGAUUAGAUACCCUGGUAGUCCAUGCCGUAAACGUUGGGCACUAGGUGUGGGGAAAUUCCCCGUUUCCCCCCC